Molecule: small RNA, 520 nt
Filed under: uncultured Glomus
Lineage: Eukaryota; Fungi; Glomeromycota; Glomeromycetes; Glomerales; Glomeraceae
Description: SSU rRNA
Rfam family: Eukaryotic small subunit ribosomal RNA
Source: RNAcentral
AGCAGCCGCGGUAAUUCCAGCUCCAAUAGCGUAUAUUAAAGUUGUUGCAGUUAAAAAGCUCGUAGUUGAAUUUCGGGGUCAGUAGAUUGGUCGUGCCACUGGUAUGUACUGGUCUUACUGGCUCCUCCUUCCUGAUGAACCGUAAUGCCAUUAAUUUGGUGUUGCGGGGAGACUGGACUGUUACUUUGAAAAAAUUAGAGUGUUUAAAGCAGGCUAACGCUUGAAUACAUUAGCAUGGAAUAAUGAAAUAGGACGUUCGAUCUUAUUUUGUUGGUUUCUAAGAUUGACGUAAUGAUUAAUAGGGAUAGUUGGGGGCAUUAGUAUUCAAUUGUCAGAGGUGAAAUUCUUGGAUUUAUUGAAGACUAACUACUGCGAAAGCAUUUGCCAAGGAUGUUUUCAUUAAUCAAGAACGAAAGUUAGGGGAUCGAAGACGAUCAGAUACCGUCGUAGUCUUAACCAUAAACUAUGCCGACUAGGGAUCGGAUGAUGUUAAUUUUUUAAUGACUCAUUCGGCGCCUUA